CAGCAGCCGCGGGAAUACGAACCGUGCGAACGUUAUUCGGAAUUACUGGGCUUAAAGCGCGUGUAGGCGGGCCGCCACGUCGGUUGCUGAAAUCCCCCGGCUCAACCGGGGAAGUGGCAUCGAUACGAGCGGCCUUGAGGGGGGUAGGGGGAUCUGGAACUUCCGGUGGAGCGGUGAAAUGCGUUGAGAUCGGAAGGAACGCCCGUGGCGAAAGCGAGGUCCUGGUCCAUUACUGACGCUGAGGUGCGAAAGCGUGGGGAGCAAACAGGAUUAGAGACCCCCGUAGUCCCUGUCUCUUAUA
Molecule: ribosomal RNA, 301 nt
Filed under: uncultured bacterium
Lineage: Bacteria
Description: partial 16S ribosomal RNA
Rfam family: Bacterial small subunit ribosomal RNA
Source: RNAcentral